ACGUGUCUGAACUGUGAAGGCGGAAGCGGGGACGAGGUCGCUCGGGUAGGAGUUGGCGAGGUGCGGCUGGCUGCUGGGCGUGCGCACGCGCAAUCCGCGCAGUGGGCGGGCCAGAUUGCGUCUGGAGCCGGGAGACCAUUGCUAGAGAGAUUUGAUUGAAAGUUAAACAUCAGAGGAAUGGACUUCAUAAACAAAAACUGUGGCCCCCAGUUCUACAAGGAUCAAGCCAUUUGCUACUGCAGUCACCCAACAACAGUGCACCCUGAGGGGAAUUCAGGAUGGAGAAGAAACAAUAUGCUGUGCUUUGGAGCCUGGCCCUGGAUAGUUAAGAUGCAUAUCUAAGGAAUAAUUUCACUGAACUCAGAUGCUUGCAUCCACUCAUACAUAGAGAUGUCUGUUCUUUGUGAUUAGCAGUAACCUUUUGAUAUUGGCCUAGCUAUUUUGCUCCAGCCAAAAAACUCAUAUACAUCCUGUCUCCUCCCUUACCUCUUGAGACCGGUUCUUCAGAGCUGAGAGGGGGUUUUUCUAUGCUAUGUUCCUCAGUAAGGUCCUUGAAUAAAACUUAAAACUUC
Capra hircus (goat) is the source of this 572-nucleotide long non-coding RNA. RefSeq lists it as uncharacterized. Lineage: Eukaryota; Metazoa; Chordata; Mammalia; Artiodactyla; Bovidae. The record is from RefSeq and is a predicted model, not a curated record. The transcript has 2 exons.